CUCUGGGCAAGCUUUUGAGCAACACCUGUGUGUGCCGGUCUGGGGUAGGAGCUGCGGCGGCAGCAGAGGGGAGAGAGGUGCGGACUGGCCAGGAGAACUUGUCAUCUGUCUCCUAGAGGACCUGGUCUGUCUUGGUUGCUCUGUAUCCCCAGCACCUAGACCAUGGCCCUGCAUGUGAGAUGAACUCCAUGGAGAAGGGGCUAUGCUGAUAAAGAAACAGUCUCAGCAGGUAAGUGGCUUGUCCAGAGUCACACAGCAGUUUGGUAGGUGGAGCUUGGACUUGAACCCAGUUC
Mustela lutreola (European mink) is the source of this 293-nucleotide long non-coding RNA. RefSeq lists it as uncharacterized. The record is from RefSeq and is a predicted model, not a curated record. NCBI's taxonomy places the organism in Eukaryota, Metazoa, Chordata, Mammalia, Carnivora, Mustelidae. The transcript has 3 exons.